AUGGCCUUUUCAGUUAUGGAUCUUAAUGCUGGUGUAAGUGAACAUUCAGGUGAUUGGUUGGAUCAGGAUUCAGUUUCAGAUCAGUUUAGUGCAGAAUUUGAAGUUGAAUCUCUCGACUCAGAAGAUUAUAGCCCUAGUGAAGAAGGACAAGAACUCUCAGAUGAAGAUGAUGAGGUAUAUCAAGUUACUGUGUAUUAUAGAGUUACUGUGUAUUAGGCAGGGGAGAGUGAUGCAGUUUCAUUUGAAGAAGAUCCUGAAAUUUCCUUAGCUGACUAUUGGAAAUGCACUCAUGCAAUGAAAUGAAUCCCACACUUCUGUCACGUUGUAACAGAUGUUGGGCCCUUGGUGAGAAUUGGCUUCCUGAAGAUAAAGGGGAAAUCUCUGAGAAAGCCAAACUGGAAAGCUCAACACAAGCUGAAGAGGGCUUUGAUGUUCCUGAUUGUAAACACACUACAGUGAAUGAUUUCAAAGAGUCGUGUGUUGAGGAAAACGAUGAUAAAAUUACACAAGUCUCACAAUCACAAGAAAGGGAGGACUAUUCUCAGCCGUCAUCUUCUGUAGCAUAUUUAUAGCAGCCAAGAAGAUGCGAAAGAGUUUGAAAGGGAAGAAACACAAGACAAAGAAGAAAGUAUGGAAUCUAGUUUGCCCCUUAAUGCCAUUGAACCUUGUGUGACUUGUCAAGGUCGACCUAAAAAUGGUUGCAUUGUCCAUGGCAAAACAGGACAUCUUAUGGCCUGCUUUACAUGUGCAAAGAAGCUAAAGAGAAGGAAUAAGCCCUGCCCGGUAUGCAGACAACCAAUUCAAAUGAUUGUGCUAACUUAUUUCCCCUAGUUGCCCUGUGUAUAAGAGAAUUACAUUUCUAACUAAUUAACCCUAAGAAUUCAGACAACAUGAAAUUUAUUUACAUGUAUCAAAGUGAGAAAAUGCCUCAAUCCAUGUGGAUUUCUUCUCUUUAGUAUAACUUACCUACUUUGGUAGUGAAAUAGUAAAUACUUACUUUGAAGAAAA
This is an RNA transcript of Cebus imitator (Panamanian white-faced capuchin), 1008 nucleotides long. It is a transcript of the gene named E3 ubiquitin-protein ligase Mdm2-like, with no coding region annotated. Lineage: Eukaryota; Metazoa; Chordata; Mammalia; Primates; Cebidae. The transcript is spliced from 4 exons. The record is from RefSeq and is a predicted model, not a curated record.